AGUGAACGCUGGCGGUAGGCCUAACACAUGCAAGUCGAACGGCAGCACAGUAAGAGCUUGCUCUUACGGGUGGCGAGUGGCGGACGGGUGAGGAAUACAUCGGAAUCUACUUUUUCGUGGGGGAUAACGUAGGGAAACUUACGCUAAUACCGCAUACGACCUACGGGUGAAAGCAGGGGAUCUUCGGACCUUGCGCGAUUGAAUGAGCCGAUGUCGGAUUAGCUAGUUGGCGGGGUAAAGGCCCACCAAGGCGACGAUCCGUAGCUGGUCUGAGAGGAUGAUCAGCCACACUGGAACUGAGACACGGUCCAGACUCCUACGGGAGGCAGCAGUGGGGAAUAUUGGACAAUGGGCGCAAGCCUGAUCCAGCCAUACCGCGUGGGUGAAGAAGGCCUUCGGGUUGUAAAGCCCUUUUGUUGGGAAAGAAAAGCAGCAGGUUAAUACACCGCUGUUUUGACGGUACCCAAAGAAUAAGCACCGGCUAACUUCGUG
RNAcentral lists this ribosomal RNA (492 nucleotides) under uncultured bacterium. Its description in RNAcentral is "partial 16S ribosomal RNA". It matches the Rfam family "Bacterial small subunit ribosomal RNA", at positions 29 to 507 of the family's 1533-position model. The record is from RNAcentral.